AGUGAACGCUGGCAGUAGGCCUAACACAUGCAAGUCGAACGGCAGCACAGGAGAGCUUGCUCUCUGGGUGGCGAGUGGCGGACGGGUGAGGAAUACAUCGGAAUCUACUCUGUCGUGGGGGAUAACGUAGGGAAACUUACGCUAAUACCGCAUACGACCUACGGGUGAAAGCAGGGGACCUUCGGGCCUUGCGCGAUUGAAUGAGCCGAUGUCGAUUAGCUAGUUGGCGGGGUAAAGGCCCACCAAGGCGACGAUCCGUAGCUGGUCUGAGAGGAUGAUCAGCCACACUGGAACUGGGACACGGUCCAGGCUCCUACGGGAGGCAGGAGUGGGGAAUAUUGGACAAUGGGCGCAAGCCUGAUCCAGCCAUACCGCGUGGGUGAAGAAGGCCUUCGGGUUGUAAAGCCCUUUUGUUGGGAAAGAAAUCCAGCUGGCUAAUACCCGGUUGGGAUGACGGUACCCAAAGAAUAAGCACCGGCUAACUUCGUGCCAGCCGCCGCGGUAA
RNAcentral lists this ribosomal RNA (505 nucleotides) under uncultured bacterium. RNAcentral's name for it is "partial 16S ribosomal RNA". It matches the Rfam family "Bacterial small subunit ribosomal RNA", at positions 29 to 523 of the family's 1533-position model. The record is from RNAcentral.